RNAcentral lists this ribosomal RNA (253 nucleotides) under uncultured bacterium. Its description in RNAcentral is "partial 16S ribosomal RNA". It matches the Rfam family "Bacterial small subunit ribosomal RNA", at positions 524 to 776 of the family's 1533-position model. The record is from RNAcentral.
UACAGAGGUCCCGAGCGUUGUUCGGAUUCACUGGGCGUAAAGGGUGCGUAGGUGGCUUGGAAAGUUUGAUGUGAAAGCUCAGGGCUUAACCCUGAAAUGGCAUUGAAUACUGCCGGGCUGGAGGUUUGGAGGGGGGACUGGAAUUCUUGGUGUAGCAGUGAAAUGCGUAGAUAUCAAGUGGAACACCAGUGGCGAAGGCGAGUCCCUGGACAACACCUGACACUGAGGCACGAAAGCUAGGGGAGCAAACAGG